This 253-nucleotide ribosomal RNA is filed under the name uncultured prokaryote. RNAcentral describes it as "partial 16S ribosomal RNA". It matches the Rfam family "Bacterial small subunit ribosomal RNA", at positions 524 to 776 of the family's 1533-position model. The record is from RNAcentral.
UACGUAGGGUGCGAGCGUUAAUCGGAAUUACUGGGCGUAAAGGGUGCGCAGGCGGCUUCGCAAGUCAGGCGUGAAAUCCCCGGGCUUAACCUGGGAAUUGCGCUUGAAACUACGGAGCUGGAGUAUGGCAGAGGGAGGUGGAAUUCCACGUGUAGCGGUGAAAUGCGUAGAGAUGUGGAGGAACACCGAUGGCGAAGGCAGCCUCCUGGGCCAAUUCUGACGCUGAGGAGCGAAAGCCAGGGGAGCAAACGGG